Non-coding RNA from Oryzias latipes (Japanese medaka), 2572 nucleotides. The record is from RefSeq and is a predicted model, not a curated record. Lineage: Eukaryota; Metazoa; Chordata; Actinopteri; Beloniformes; Adrianichthyidae.
AAAUCUAAUUUCAGUACAAUUCCAAAAAAGAUGGUUAAUUGCUUUUGGAUGUUCUUUGCAAAAGGGACAAAUCAAUUUUUUAAUGUAUCUUAGCAUGAAUUGAUUAGUGGGGUACAUUUUGUGAGUGAUUUUAAAAGAAACUUCUUUCAUUUUUUAUUUUAUUUAUCAUAGAUUUUUGGGUCACACUCCAGCCCUUUCUCCAAAUGCUGCCGGGAACAAAACGUCUUCAGUAGUUUCGAAGCCGCAAAACAACACGAGGAGAACGGACGGCCGUGACGUGUUACCCGAGCUCCAGUAAAGUGAAAUUUGAUUGGUCACGUUCUGCAACGCGACCAAUCAGCUGUCGAGUUACAGCGCUCCGCGCCGCCAUGACGCAAUCUGUUUGAAAACAAUGGCGGCACGGAGCGUUAGGUCCGAAGAUGAAGACGGAAAAGAAGAAUAAAAGUUGAUCGUAGGAGACAUGGACACCCUCUAGUAAGCGAGGCCGACCGCGUCCUCACAACGAUAAGACCUCAGAGGAUCCGGGAGUUGGCGGCAGUGACCCGGCCGAGCCGAUAAGUUCAGGAAAAGAGUCUUCAUCUGAAGCGAUUGAAACAUAAUCACAGAGGCUGGACGAAAAAACCAAGAAGAAGUUACAAGAACACCGGAUACGACACCCCCCCCCCCCCCCCCCGAAGUUUCCAUUCUUGUCCAUCACAAACACAAGAACCUCGGAGAGCAGCUCCAGUGGAAGGUCGGGGCAGAUGACAACUUCAGAACACCACACAAUGAGGAGAUGACGGCAGCAGUGAAAGAUGUGGAACCAAGUUGGAGUUUCCACCAAGUUAGAAGUAAGCACCAACAUGAAGUUGGAUUUACACAACUCGCCAUAAGUUAGAGAUAAUGUGAGAGACUCAAUGUCAAUAAUCAGUGUUACUUUCUUUUCAGAGAUUUUUUGAAUAGGAUUGCAAUUGUAUUAGUGUGAUAGACAGCUCAUUUAGUGUUUCCAUGUCUUAGGACCAAACACUAAGUUACAAUAACGAUAUAGCAUUGACGAUGGAUAUUUAAGAUAAGCCUCUGUGACAGUCUGCAUGGCACAUUUUGAAUAUUCCACUUUGGAAACAUGUUUGCAAUAUGUUGACCUCAUCUUCUGUACAUUUCAUAUUUCCAUCGACUAGGAGCUUGCAAUCGAGCUAUUGACAGUCUCAAAUACAAAGAGAGAGAAUGGAGAUAGAAGCAAGGAGGAGGUCAAAAGGAGGACGAGUCAGCACGAUCAGCUCUUCAAAAAGAGGGUCAGAAUUGCUGAGAAGAUUCUCAAUCAAUCAAUCAAAUCUUUAUUUGUAUAGCACUUUCACAUCUUCCAGACAUCCAAAGUGCUGCACACGUAUAACUACACUAAAACCAUAGGUAAAAUUCAAAGAAACACAGUAAAAUGAUAAUAAAAUCAUCAAUAAAAGAAAACAAACAAAAAAAAAACUGUCUAAUUAUCAUUCUCUCUGGUGUUAAAAGCCAAUGUAAAAAGAUGAGUUUUUAGCAGAGAUUUAAAAUCGUUUAAGGAUCUGGCAGAUCUCAUAGACAGGGGGAGACGAUUCCAGAGUUUGGGAGCAACCACUGAAAAUGCUCUGUCCCCCUUGGUCACCAGUCGAGUCCUUGGAACCUCUGGUCUGGUCUACAGAUCGCAGAGCUCUACGAGGACAAUGGCUCUGCAGGAGCUCAGAAAGAUAAGGAGGUGCCAGACCAUUUAAACAUUUAAAAACCAAGAGUAAGAUUUUAAAAUCAAUUCUAAAAGAAACAGGCAGCCAGUGCAGAGAGCGCAGUAUUGGCAAUCAAGAGGAUCUGUCAUAUAUAAAAAGAGCCAAUGCAAACUAUGUCAGCGACGAGGAAAGUGGCGAGGACAAACCAUCUUAUUAUCAAGCCUCGCCAAAGUGGCGCUCCACUAGGCUAACCAUGGUGAUGCUGAAAUGCCAUAAAGCCUGGGAUGAAAACUGGAGGAGUGGAAUUGAGCCAAAAUUACGCACGAGACACUCAGCUGGCUUUACUGAAGGAAACCCACCACCAGUCAAGAGCUGCUAUCUGGCAGAAGAGAAAAAAAGGAUGCAUGUUUGUUUGUGGUUUUUGAUUUAUUUAUUUAUUUUGUAAUAAAAUAUUUUUGAGUAAUACCGGUUUUCUGUCACCUUUUAUUUCUUAUGUAUUUUUGAUAUGACUGGUAUCUUGAAAUAUCCUGACUUACAUCACUAGUGUUUGUUCUUCAGAUAUGUCUGCUGGCCAUAUGUUCCAAAUCCUAACUUCAGAUAUGACUGGUAUACAGACAUCAGAUAUCAACAGAUAUGACAUGGAUAGAAUCUGGAAAUAUCCUGACUUUGGAUAUCACUAGUGACGCAUCUCAUAUCUGGAGAGAAUCUCAUCUCCAGAUUCUAUCAGAAUAAAAGUGUCCCAUACUCUGAGUUGAUAUGCUCAGGACAUGAACUUAGAAACAGUCAUGUCCGGAGAGUAUCCACCGUAGAUAUCACCAGAUAUGGGGUAUUUCUGAGGAUAUCCAGACAAAUAUAUCUCCUGAUUCUGGGGGCUUUUUCGCAGUGUUCGUUCUAAAAAU